Molecule: non-coding RNA, 6834 nt
Organism: Rattus norvegicus (Norway rat)
Lineage: Eukaryota; Metazoa; Chordata; Mammalia; Rodentia; Muridae
Source: RefSeq, a predicted model, not a curated record
UCCUCCCUUCCUGGUUAACUGGGCUGGAGGUCCUGCUGGCCUCCCAGGGCUGGUUGUCCCUUUUCUGGGGUUCGGGCUGUUGGCGGUCCACAGCAAGGGAAGGGUUUGCAAGACCCGGAGGUUUUCCCCCACCCCUUUAUAAAUGCUUUCCAGUGGUGUCUCAGUUCACCCUCAUUCUCUGACCAAGGAGAACUAGACGAGUGGGACCCCACUUCUUGAGCGCUUGACAGACGCUCUGCCAGUCAUUCGACUGAGGCUAAUGCUCUGAAAUCCUUAGGAGCGUGUUUUUUAAAGGCUCCUAAAACUUAAAUCGACUUGGUAAUUGCAAAGUGGAUCGGAGUUUUGUUUGCGGUUCCUGUCUCCUUUUAAGAAAAUGGUUUUUCCGUUUAAAAUAGUGGGGAAAUUUCAAUCGACAAUCUGUAGCAUGUUUUUUUGCAACUUAGAAAACCUAAAUGUGUCUUCGUGGAAGUUGUAAUUUUUAGUAAAUCCUGUCUGUUGAUGUAAUCCUCAGGCUGCAGAUAUCUUGAGGACUAAUGCAAUAAACGGAGAUUGCUAUAUAGAUGGAAUCCAGCAUUUGGAGGGUGGAUUUCUGGAGACCAUCGUGGUUGUAUGUUCCCAGGACAGCCAGUGAGAGACCCUAUUAAAAAAAAUCCUCUGAAAAUAAAUUUUCUGAAAGUUGAGCCCAUUUUAUAGCUCUUGUCUAGGUCUACAUAAUCCUACUCUAGCCAUUUCUUUUUAAACUAGGGAUUCUUGUUAGAGGGUUGGUGGAUGUAGGAGUGGUAGCUGGUUUGUCCAACUUGAGCCAGACCUUGAACUCAGUCCUCAGUAACUAUGGUCAUUUGACUUUUAACUUUCACUAGGUGGUUACAUGGACUUAGUGAAGGAUAUUUGCUCAGAUUUAGUGACAGACAAUUAUAAAUGUAACUGCUGCUGUUUUUGCCAUAGAUGCUGCCUUUAAGAGUUUAGACAACAGCCUUGGACUUUGAUCAGUACUGUAGAAAGUCUAAGUUUAUCUUUUUUGUGUGUGCAGUGAAGUUUUUCACUGUAGUCAUAUGACUCAGGAAGUGUGGCUUCUCAAAGCUGCCCACGCCUUAGUUCUGGAUCAGCAACUUGCACAUUGUGUCUUAGUGUCUGUCCCAUUUGUGAAUACUCUAGCAGGUUAUGAUGUGUUCAGUUUUUGGCUGCUGAAACUAGCCUACCCACUUAGAGGAUUUUCUGGGUUUGAUUUACUGUGAUCUAAGUUUAAUUGUUGAGAUUUUGUAAGUGACAAACUCAGGCUUUCUGGCAAACCCAAGCACUGGUGUUUUGGAAGCCUGUUCUUUCCAUACUAGACCUCUAACAGUUUUACUGGAGGUGGCAGUAGCCACCUCUCCUCUGUAAACAUUGUCAAAUGUUUGCACUAAACAGAUUUGCCCUUAACGGGCUUUCUAAAAUGGGGUGACAUUUGCUUGCAAGGGUUUAAGUCUGAUAGUUUGUGAAAGGGGAGGUAGUGUGCUACAUGAAGUUUCAACUGUUGAGCAUCUUUGUCUUUAUCCAGAUAUUAUGAGGAACUUUAUCAAAGGAGGGUUUCUUCAAGUUCUGUCCACUUAGUGUAGCUGUUAAAACAGUACAGCUGUGUUUACUUACUGUCUUUGGGUGAUGUGGGUGGUAAGUUUGGACUUUGGGAACCUGAGGUUCUUUUUGUUAUAACAUUCACAAAGCAUUGUGAGAAUUGCUAUUCACCUAAAAAUAGAGUAAUGAUUGGGUUUAAAGUCUGGUGAGUUAAAGUUGGUGAGUGUGGCUGCCUGAAAUGCCUAGUAUACUACUCAGGAUAUAUAUAUAUAUAUAUAUAUAUAUAUAUAUAUAUAUAUAUAUAUAUAUCAGCCUCCUAGAAUAGUAGCACUGCACCACCCCACCCCACUCCCUUUUAAAAUUAAGCUGUCUGAACAUUGUGCUGUGUUAUCAAACCUGUUGCUUGAGUAAUUAAGUUAGAACGGUUUUGUGGGUAUCUUGAAAUAGUAAGUGUUCAAAGAUGUAGUGUGGUUACAAUCUUGUGACUAUUUCAAGUGUUUGAGAAGACAGUUUUCAUUCUUUGGGAUCAGAAGGGAACUAUAGGACAGUUGUAAGCUUAAGUGUUAUCUAAUGGAAACAUUUUCUGUUUGAUCUGACUUUCCAAAAGUGACUUUGUUGUUAACAUAUUACCCCCCCUUGGUUUCUGUUUGUUUUCAUUUUUAAGUUUGUGUUGACACUUAAGGGAGUUUGUCUUCCAUGUGAGUCCUGGGGAUCUAAGCAGGCUUGGCCACAAGUGCCUUCUUGCUGGCCCAAACACCUAUUUUCUUUUUUAAAAGAUUAUGAAUGAGUGCUCUAACUGCAUGUACACCUGCAUGCCAGAAGAGGGCAUUAAAACUCGUUAUUGAUGGUUGAACUUAGAACUUUUAGUCCCUUCUCUUAACUCUUCCCUUGGGGACCCCAUUCUGGAAUUGGGAUAUUUUAUGAUUAUUUGAAAAUAGUCCAGAUAGCUAAGAUCUCUUGAUUACUUAAGUCAGCAAUUCAGCAUAGUACCCGGGCUUGCAGCCUUGUGAAAUGAUGAUUCUGUUUAUCCAUUCGCUGAGUACGCUGCACUGACCUUCUUCCCAGUCCCAGUUCCUGUUCUGGGAGCUUGGGGCUGAGUAGCCUCCAACCCUGCAAUCUGCAGUGUUCUACUGUGGAUUGCUUGUGUGUUGGCAGACUACUACUGGUAAGAAUGGCUAGUGUCGGCAGGGAUGGCUCCCUCUCUGGGUUCCAUCUCACCAAGAUGAGUGGUGCAAAUCUGAUCACUUCCUGCAGCCCUUCUAGUUCCUUGUUCAGAAGUUAUUUUUCACACUUAUCUAUUGUGUGAGUUUGCACUUCCCACUUGUUGAGGUGCAAGCAUAAUGGCCUGACUUGCUGAGCCAUUUAAAGGGAGAGUUAAAGGACAGGGAAGGUUAGGUAGUAGAAUUUUUCAUAAGACUAUUCCUAAGUAUUAUGUAUUUCAUAACUGUCAUGUAGGUCUUUCAUAUCUGAAUAUCUGUGACAAGGUGCUUUUAUUUAGAUUUUACUUCUUUACUAAUAAGUACUUCCUUUGGAGAAAAAUUUGACUCAUGAGAUAUCUGCUCCUUUCUAAGAAGAAAGACCAUUCAUAGACGACUUGGCUUCUUCAUGCUCCUUGGCAAAGAUUUUUCUUGGGCAGUAAAGGACUCCUUGGAGUGAACAGAAUAACUGAAGGGAGGGUUCAUUGUUAAUAUGUGCUGGGUAAGCACAUUUUUCUACAUUAGUAAUAAGAAAUGGGGAAAAUCAUUGAAAUAGAAACAACUACUUUUUCUUUUAAGGUAAAUUUCUUUGUAGUGACCAAAUAGAAAUAAUGAUUGAUAUUUUAUACAUGUCCCCCACCCCCACCAAGGUUUCUCUGUGCCACUUGUCCUAGACCAGGCUGGCUUCUGAACUCGAAAUCUGGCUGCCUUCUGUCUUCCUUGGUGCUGGGAUUAAAGGAAUGCCACCACUGCCCGGCUCUGUAUGGCUUCUUAACACUGUAAAAUGGGACUAGAUAACCAGCGCACUUCUGUUUAUACGGCACUAGUCUAAAGCAGAACUAGAAAGCACUGUGGUGAUGGAAGCAGUUUCCGGGUCUUUUUUUUUUUUUUUCCUUCUGUUUUGAGGUUUUGAAGUAAUGGCUUUAAAACAUUUUAUCGGGGCUGGGGAUUUAGCUCAGUGGUAGAGCGCUUACCUAGGAAGCGCAAGGCCCUGGGUUCGGUCCCCAGCUCUGAAAAAAAAAGAACCAAAAAAAACCCAAAACAUUUUAUCUACUUGAUGUUGGCUGGCCUCAUCCCUGGUCUUUUGCGACAUCCUUCUAAGUGUUGAGAUUAUAGACAUGCACACAAAAACUUACUUUUUCAAGAAGCAAUAAUUAAAAGCCAGCCUGAUCUGUGUAGGAAGUAUGAGACCUUCCUCAAACCAUAAUUAGCAAUGGUAAAACCCCUCACUGUGAGGUAAUAGCCAGUAACUUAGUGUGCUCCAAGAUUGAAGGAGAGGGACUGGCUCAGCCUGGAACAGUGCUUGCUGUUCUUUCAGAACGUAGCAGUUAAGUUUCCAGCACCCACGUCCAUAGCUCAUGCCCUUGACACCAGCUCCGGGGAAUCUGAUCUGGCCUCAGCAACAAAAGGACAUACAUAAUAAAAUUACUUUUUCUUUACAGGAUUUUUGGCUAUCUGAGCUGACAAUACUCCAGAGUCACUAACAAUCUAAAAACAAAAAACUUCAACACCAGAAACCUGGUUCUAAAGUAUGCUUAACCCCUUUGAGGGGUUAAUUGGGGGUGGUCUGAGACUCCUAAAAACAUAUAGAUUGUUGUUAGUGCCCUUGGUUGUUCUAGAGGUGGAAGGUAAGUCUGUACUACUUCUGAAAACACCAUGUAGUUGAGACACAGGGCCCAGAGGUCCUCUUAGCUUGAAAUGACUGGAAUGGAAGGAACCUCUUAGAGGACUAGCUUUCCUGGUACCAUACAGAUUUCCAAAAGGAGGAAAGCAGUCAGCAUUCCUACAGUCAUGAUGCCUGUGAACAGCUUUGACCAGCAUGGCAUGAUAACCCUGAGUGCAAUAUAUUGGCUUGCAUAAUUUACUAAUGGUUCUUUAGUUAAACUUAGGAUUCCCUGGAGAAGGAAACAGUGCUUGAGAUUGGAAACCUAGCAACAUACCCAGACCUAGUGAAAUCAUAAAUCUUGGGAAGAAAAACCCAUAAAUGAUACUUAACUACAUUCGAAAUAUUUUUUCCUACUAACCACAGGUAUGUGUAGCUCUCACCCCUAUGCAGUAGAAAGACUUACAGAAAAAUCAUAACUAAUGAAAAUGCAGAGUUAUGGAGGCCAAUCACAACUGCUACAUCUGCAAUAUAACUAAGGCUCUUGGAUUAUUGCAGAAAGGGGGGCAACAAGAUUAUAAGAGCCAGUGGGAUGGGGGGUAUGUAUGCUGUAUGUGAAAAACUACACCUGUGAAGUCUCGCUAGUAUAUCUGCUUAAAUAUGAUCUGAACAAUAGGCAUGCUAACAACAGGAGGGAAUUUCAGGAGCCCUCAACCCUACACAAAGAAGUUCAGACAACUAAGGAAUGCCGAGAGUGGAAUAAAUAAAUAUUCCGCCCUGUGGAGGAAAACACCAAAUGGCCAGCCCUGAAAACAUAAAAGUAACAUGCGUGGAUAGACUGAGCAAGUUGUGCUUGUAUUUAGGAGUGUAUGUAAUGUAACAAUAAUGAAAAGGGUGGCCAUUAAUAUGAAUAAUAAGGCGUAUUAUAGGAGUGUUUGGAGGAAGGGGGGAGGGGUAUAAUUAUAACUUUAAAGAUGUGUGAGAGAAGGGUGACAGGAAGCCUACCACCCUUUUAUCCUUUGGCCUGGUUUAUUUAGCAAAAAGGCUUUGGACUGCUGGGUGUUGGCUUUGCUGACUAAGCAUAAACAGGAAUGCUGAAGUUUUCAUCCUACUUGGUGAUUCCAGAAUGAGGAUACAAGUGCUGACAUAGAAGAUCUAACACUGCACAACUUUACUGCUGGUUGCAGCUAUAAGUGGUAGGAGCUAUAUAAUACACCCUUUUGUGGUUGUCUGUGAGAAGAUUAAAACCAGAUGGUAGUUAUUCAGUGGCGGGCACUUCAUUGUCACUUUGCCUGUAGUACUUAAGAGAAACCUGCUCCCUGUCCCCUUUGACCUACUAUAUAAUUCCAAAAGUAGCCCGUGAGUUUCUAUAGACAACUGAAUUUGCUUGGCUAAUAUGAGCAAAAGUGAAUGAAUUAUCAGCAUAUAGCACUGUGAUUCUCAGCCUUUGUGGUCUCAUCAGAGAGUUAUAUUACAAUUCAUAAUAGCAAUGUUAGUUAUGAAAUAAUGAUGGAAUAAUUUUAUGGUUGGGGGGUCACCACAGCAGGAGGAACUGUAUUAAAGGAUUGCAAUUAUAGGAUGGUUGAAAACCACCCAUAUAGCAUAUUAACUAAAAAGGCUAGAAACUAGGUUUUCUAACUUAUUUAAGGGUGAGGAAAUAAAAAGUUAGGCUGGGAGGUACAUACCUUUAAUCCCAUGCCUUUAAUCCUGUCAGAGGCAGGUGGAUCUGAGUUUAAGGACAGCUAGGACUGCUACACAGAUAAGUCCUGCCUCUAAAAACAAGAAAAUAAGAAAAUGGAUAUUCAGAAGUAUGGACAUUAUUGCUGAAUUCUAGAAAAUACACUGUAGCCUGACUGCCCUGUCUAUCUACCAGUGCUAACAUUUCUAAAGCCUGACAUUUGGCUUUAUUCCUCUCCAUCUGACUAUAACAAUUUGGAAAGAUGGAGUGGCCAGUUUGCCUUUGCAAUUUGUAUAUUACUUUUUAGAGGCUGUAUCUACUUAACACUUACAAAAGGAAGGUUGCUUACCAUAAGUGCCAGAACUAAGCAAAAUUGUGAUCCCUUGGCCUUCUGACUUCCAAAUAUGGCCAGCCUCUUAACAUUAUUAUCUAGUUAUCAGGAAAUUCAUGUUUUAUAGGUAAGCUUAUGGUUCUGUGUUGGUUCAUAUAUGUAUAUGUGUAUGUAUGUAUGUAUAUAUAUAUAUAUAUAUAUGUAGAGCUGUUUUGAUGUGCAUGUUACUUAGCCACAGGUUGUCUACAGGAAUUUUAUGUGUUUGGGAGACAGGUUUUCUCUAGCUCUGGCUAACCUUGAACUCAGAGAUCUUUUGAGUGCUGGGUUAAAGGCUUGUACCAGCGUUUUGAUCUUUAGAGGAUUUGACCUGUAGUUAGCCUGCCAUGGGUCACAUCAUUGAAGAAUACUUGCUGGUUCACCUUCUCCAGUGGGAAAUGAUUUCUGAACAUGAAACUAAUAUUAAAAUGUAUUUCAG